AGGUGGAUUUAAGAAGGAAGGGAGCAGGGUGAGGGAGCAUGAGACUGAGAACUGAACAGGCUGUCCUCACAGUUAAGUGACGGGCACUGUACCCUUGGCGCCUGCCUUCGCUUUAAAUCUGACCCCUUCGCAGUCCAGCUCUCCUAGAUUGCUGACCUGCUGAGAAGACUGGACAAUGGACAGCUAGAUCUGCGUGUGUCUGCUGGCGUCCCCCUCUCUGGCUGCCUUCGUCUGUAUUAAUUGCGUUCGUUUAGAGCCCAGGAAGCCCUGCCCUUGUGAUAACCCAAGAAGUUCUAAGCAGGAGAGCUGUAGCUAGAGUCUAGGGUUGUCAGUGUGCUGCUUUAGAGGAAUGCGCAGGGUUCUGCAGGGAGCAGCUCAUGAAGCUUAGGAGCCUGCAAAGUUCAGUUAUUCCUCUUUUUGGAACAAAAUUCACUAAUUAGGACUAAUUGGUCACAGGUAGGUGUGAGCUAGGAUACGAUUUGAAUUAGAAAAUAUUUCAAAGGAAUGCAAAUAUGUUAAAUUGCUGUUCUGAUAAUUAUACUUAAGCCAAUAGUGUCAUUAGAAGUACUUUAAGAAUAUACAAGAAUGAUUGCUAUUUGGUUUAUUAGACACAAUGUCUUUGUUUUGUAGGUGAGGAAACUUGAGAUUGAACAGAUGGUGUUUUUUCCGAAAGGCAUAUAACUUGUUAGAGGCAGAGCAGAAACUAGAAAGUUGGUUUUCUAAUUCUCUAUCCGGUGUUGAAAUUGUUCAGUGUAGACAAGGAAAGACCGAUCUCAUGCAUGACUUGAUUAUCAUCUCCAAGUAUAUGACGGUGCCCUCAGCCCCACUCCCACCCAUGAUAAAAAGUUGUUGUCUUACAGUUCAAAAUAACUGUCUGCCAGGAACCAACAAGAAAGGAUGGGUUUGCCCUGGUCAAAGACUUAACAGUUUGUGUCUUUUCUCCUGAAGGUUUUCAGGAGAGAAUAAGUUACCCUCAGCUCAAUAAUUUAGAUGGUAAAGGACUUGAUCGAAUGUUGUUUUAAGACCCCUUUCAUAUUAUUCUCUGCAGCUUAAUGAUUUUAAGGAUAAAAAUAUGGUAAUGGAAGUACUCUUACUAGAAUGAAGUGUUAUCUUAUUGGAACUUGCAUUUGGAAGAGUAACUGUUCCUGCUGCUAGGAACUGAGGCGCAUCAGAAAUUGUAACCUCAUCGUUGGUGUGCAGACCUUGGGAGAGCAGCAUCCAGCUCCCUUUUGUGGAUCUAGAUAGAAAAGAGUCCCAGUUUGUUUAAAGAUGAAUAAACUAAUUUAUUUAUUUUUUUAAAAUCCAGCCUUGGCAAAUGCAACAUUAUGUGUCCUUGAGCCUAUUAUGUCUGUGGAGGUUAUAGCCCCAAAUGAAUUUCAGGGAUCGGUGAUUGCAGGAAUUAACCGGCGCCAUGGGGUCAUCACCGGACAAGAUGGAAUUGAGGACUAUUUCACGUUAUAUGCAGACGUCCCUCUAAAUGAUAUGUUUGGUUAUUCCACUGAACUUAGGUCAUGCACAGAGGGAAAGGGAGAAUACACAAUGGAGUACUGCAGAUAUCAGCCGUGUUCGCCGUCCACACAAGAAGGCCUUGUUAAUAAGUAUUUGGAAGCUACAGGUCAACUUCCUGUAAAAAAAGGAAAAGCCAAGAACUAACCUUUCUCACUUUAAGUUGACAAACUGAAUCUGCAAGGUUUAGAUACUUUAAUGGAUUCCAGCGGAAUGGAUUCAAGCUGAAAUAAGAAAUUUUAGAAGCCCUUCCUGUUUUGUUUAGGAGCUUCUCUUAUAUUCAAAGAUAAUUCUAUGUAUAUCUCAACUCGAUUGGUUUUAUGGUUCAUUGAAAAACCUCAAAUAAAAUAUGAUUAUUACUGAAAUAUAUUUAAUAUUUAUCUAAGGGGAGAAGAGACUAAUUUCAGUUAUACUUCUGAGCUUAGAAUAUAUGUAAACUUCCUUUCCAAAAUUUUUAUCAUAAGAAUUUUCAACAUAUAGAAAAGCUGAAACAAACAGUAUAAAUAAUAGCAUGUAUCUUCUAUCUAGACUCAACAACGAACAAUCCUGUUAACAAUUUGUUUAUCAGAUAGUAAUUUGUUUUGUCAUAUUUGCUUUAUCUGUUUGUCUAUCAUUUGCCUACCUAUCUCUUUAUUUAAAAAUUUUUUUUAAUUAUUGUUUUGCUGAAUACUUGAAAGUGAAUUGCAUAAAUCAUGAUGCUUCUUGGAGUGUCCUUUUUUUUUUUUUUGGUGCUGAGGAAGAUUUGCCCUGAGCUAGCAUCCAUGCCAGUCUUCCUCUAUUUUGUAUGUGGAUUGCCACCACAGCAUGGCUGCUGACAAGUGAUGUAGGUCUGCACCCGGGAACUGAACCCAGGCCACCAGAGUGGAGCCACCAGACUUAACCGCUAGGUCACCGGGCUGGCCCUGGAGUGUCAUCUUUUAAUGAGCAGCCUUUUUUGUUCGAGUGGAUUCCAUGUGUUCUUAAUGGAGGAUGUUUUUCAGAUUCUUCAUUGGGAUAUUAAAAUGCUAGCUACAUUUCCAGCUGUUUUAUAUAUAACCAACUGCUUCAAUUUGUGACUUGUCCAAAUUUAUAACUGCCUUCCUUGCAGACCUGUGAAACAAAGAACAGCCCCUUGCGCAUGCUCUUCUUGUCUCUGUUCUUCUGAAUGUCUCUGCGGCUCUAAAAAGAAAAUAGAGUUUAAAGAGUUGCUGACCAGUCAGUUUCAUUCACAUAGUAAAUUCUAGUUGAAUUUGAGUCUGUUGGAAUUUAUCAUAUAUUGUAUUCAUGGAGAGUGUGAAAGAACAAAUGAUAAGCUUUUUUUCCUAGAAUGAGGUGGACUUUCCCAGGUACUUUUACCAUGCUGUUCCGAAUUGCUUCAUCCAGAAAAAUCAUCUGAUGUGAUAGAUAACAUCCUAGUCCUUUCUCUUGUGGAUAAUAGAAAUAAAAUAACUUUUAAAUUC
Long non-coding RNA from Equus quagga, 2945 nucleotides. RefSeq lists it as uncharacterized. The record is from RefSeq and is a predicted model, not a curated record. The transcript has 3 exons. NCBI's taxonomy places the organism in Eukaryota, Metazoa, Chordata, Mammalia, Perissodactyla, Equidae.